UGAGUAAGCCAGACAGUCGCUGCUGCUUUUUUAGCAGGAGAGGAAAGUCCGAGCUCCGUAGAGCAGGGUGCUGGGUAACUCCCAGUGGAGGUGACUCUAAGGAAAGUGCAACAGAAAUAUACCGCUCUGUAUUUUUUACAGAGUAAGGAUGGAAAGGCGAGGUAAGAGCUCACCAGCGCAAAGGUGACUUUGCGGCUAUGUAAACCCCAUCUGGAGCAAGAUCGAAUAGGGAGACUUAUGGGGCUGCUCGUCCCGUCUCCGGGUGCAUCGCUUGAAUUUAUUGGAAACAAUAAGUCUAGAUAGAUGACUGUCAAAUACAGAACUCGGCUUAUAGACUUACUCAUACA
RNAcentral lists this RNase P RNA (347 nucleotides) under Bacillota bacterium. RNAcentral's name for it is "RNase P RNA component class A". It matches the Rfam family "Bacterial RNase P class A". From Rfam's summary of the family: Ribonuclease P (RNase P) is a ubiquitous endoribonuclease, found in archaea, bacteria and eukarya as well as chloroplasts and mitochondria. Its best characterised activity is the generation of mature 5'-ends of tRNAs by cleaving the 5'-leader elements of precursor-tRNAs. Cellular RNase Ps are ribonucleoproteins. Lineage: Bacteria; Bacillati; Bacillota. The record is from RNAcentral.